This 73-nucleotide transfer RNA is filed under the name Stegodyphus mimosarum. It matches the Rfam family "tRNA". From Rfam's summary of the family: Transfer RNA (tRNA) molecules are approximately 80 nucleotides in length. Their secondary structure includes four short double-helical elements and three loops (D, anti-codon, and T loops). Further hydrogen bonds mediate the characteristic L-shaped molecular structure. tRNAs have two regions of fundamental functional importance: the anti-codon, which is responsible for specific mRNA codon recognition, and the 3' end, to which the tRNAs corresponding amino acid is attached (by aminoacyl-tRNA synthetases). tRNAs cope with the degeneracy of the genetic code in two manners: having more than one tRNA (with a specific anti-codon) for a particular amino acid; and 'wobble' base-pairing, i.e. permitting non-standard base-pairing at the 3rd anti-codon position. Lineage: Eukaryota; Metazoa; Arthropoda; Arachnida; Araneae; Eresidae. The record is from Rfam by way of RNAcentral.
GCCUUCGUGGUGUAAUGGUCAACACGCUUGGCGUGUAGUCGAGAAGUCCGCGGUUCGAGUCCCGGCGAGGGCA